This 2430-nucleotide long non-coding RNA is filed under the name Gallus gallus (chicken). Lineage: Eukaryota; Metazoa; Chordata; Aves; Galliformes; Phasianidae. The record is from RNAcentral.
GGUCAUUUCCAGCUCAACUGUGCUCUUUCUGUGUCACUUGAAUUACCAAACUGCUUUGUGUCUGCUUCUUAUCUUUGAAAUGUGAAUAUUACAGAGUUGAACUCAGUAACCUUUGUAAAGCAUGUUGGGAAAGCACUAGGCUUGUUGAUGGCCAUCUUUGCUUUGGGAUUGUAUCUGUAUAGAUCUUCUGAUGUGAUUUAUUGGUAAAUUUAUUAGUUAAAAUUCCAUAAAUGCUUUAGUGCCAGCAAAUCCCUCAAGUAGAAUUAUACACAUUUUUUCUAAGUUCGAAAGCUUCCAAAACGAGUGCUUACUGCAGAAGCUUGCGUUGCUAACGGGGACUGAUUCUUAGCACAUUAGGAAUCAAAGAAAUGUGAUUUUACUGUCUUGCAAUGCAAAUCUUUUGUGCAUGCAUCCCAGGAGCUCACACCUCACACUGGCAUAGUGCAGCAGUAGCGCUGUAGAGGUGCCCCUCUGAAGCAGUGCUUUGUAAAAUUUCAAACUGUGGAUCCACCCAAGAAAGAAAAAUGACAAACUGUCCUGCUCUAAUGGCUUUGAUUCCCAAGCAGCCACAAUUUAUGCUACAAUUGGAAUGUUGCAUUACUUUGAUUUCUUCUGCUUUGCUUGUUAGUAUAGGUGUCAAUGCAUGUGGUUUUAUAUAGCCUUUUUGCAGCUGUUUCACAGAUCGUAUUCCCAUCUGACAGACCACAGGUCAAAUAGCAGUGUACAUUCCAGGGACAGAUAAUCAAUGCAUUUAUUUAGGGCUUUCUCAAAAGCUAAUUAGAAAGAGAUGUGUGUGGGCCACUGGAAUGGAAGGACAAAGGUGAUGGUGCAACUGGCAUUUAAUGAGAAAGGUGUAAAUGAAAAGUUUCUUUCUGUAAGUGAAUCGAACAGGUUUAACAAUUCGGGUUGGUUUCUGAUGGAAGAUGCAUUCGCUGACUGUAUGAAUAAGUGUUUUUUUAAUACAAUAAAAACAGUCAUUUCCGUGAUAACCACUGCUGUGAUGGCAGCACUGGAAAUUGUCAGUCCUGGUGGAUAAGUGGAAAGUAACUGGGCUCUGAUUACACUUCAGGACCUUUUAAUAAAAUCUGGGAGGAAAGCAAUAAAUACACUUUCUCUAGGAGGCUCUGUUGUAUCCGGAGUCUCCUCAUCUCUGUGUCUGUGACAGCAGUUUGCUAAUAAAAUUAUUGAUCACGUCCAUAAACAACCUUCUAACCUCAGUUAGUAGUGAUGAUAAAUGAACUACAACUAGUGUUCCCAUGCUGCUAUUUUGCAACAAGAAAAAGUGCAAAGGUUACCUUUUAUCAUGCUCCUGGGUGGAGACACACUGCCUGGACUUUUACUUAGUUAAAUGACGGCGAUAAAUUUAUUUACGACACCUGGGUCAGGAGCACUUGGCCCUUUACAUUUUUGCCAGCUUGUAUGAAUUGAAAUUCAUUUUUAAUACUGCUGCAAAGUUCCAGGAAUUUGGCAGUCCCUGUGUUAUACAGUGGUAGUUCGUGGAUCAUGCAGAAAUAUCAGCUACUUAAUAGUCACUGUAAUACUGAUGCAUAGCUGUCGUUGCUAGUAUAAUAAAUGUAUACAGGUUAAUGUACAACUUUGAAAUGAACACAACGUGCACUUGCAAUGAAAGCAGAGAUACCUACACGAAAUAGCACAAAUAGCACAGUUUUUUCCCUAUAAAUACUCCAGAAGCUCUUUUUCCUUACCAUUUAGAGAACGUGACCAAUUAUCCAUCACAUUUCAGCUUUCACUGAAAAUAUGGCAUAAUAAAGUAUGUUCAGACUUCUCAGAUGUUCUUAAAUGUUGAUUUUCUCAACAGGGUAGGGUAAUGGAGAAAGGAGAUGGGAAAAGUCUUUCUAGAGAUUUAAGCGUACCCUUAUACUUUUAUAUAUCUAUAAAUUAUGAAGUGUUAACUGUGUUGGUAAAUUUAGAACAUAAAAAUACAAACAAAAUAUCCCCAUGAGCUGAUGGUAGGGCUUGGGAAUGCACAUGGGCAGGCAAGGAGCCUCAGCUGUGUACCGUGUUUAUAUUGGCAAAACCAGAUCAACAAAUGCUCACACAGGAUUGUUUGUGCACUGCCAGCGUAACAAGUGCACCAGUGGCAGGCGUGUGUUGUGUUGCAUUUACACUUGUGGUUUUUUUUCCUGCAGCCAAGCAUGUCUGUUGAGUAUGGGAUGAUAUUCAUGAUCGGUGUAAUUGUACCAGCAGAAGUCCCUCCGUGUAAUUUCAGGUAGUGGCAAAUCUUUGCCAUUUCAGUGAUAGAACUUGCAUCCUCAUAAGCAAGACCAUCCAUAGUGCACAGGUCAGGUCACAGUCAUUGAACAGAGUCACAGAAUUAUUUGAGUUGGAAGGGACCUUUGGAGGUCAUCUAGCCCAGCUCCCUGCAGUGAACAGGGACAUCUUGUGCUGCUCUGGAGAGUUACCCUCGCG